This 482-nucleotide ribosomal RNA is filed under the name uncultured bacterium. Its description in RNAcentral is "partial 16S ribosomal RNA". It matches the Rfam family "Bacterial small subunit ribosomal RNA", at positions 30 to 507 of the family's 1533-position model. The record is from RNAcentral.
AUUGAACGCUGGCGGCAUGCCUUACACAUGCAAGUCGAACGGUAACAGGUCUUCGGAUGCUGACGAGUGGCGAACGGGGGAGUAAUACAUCGGAACGUGCCCGAUCGUGGGGGAUAACGGAGCGAAAGCUUUGCUAAUACCGCAUACGAUCUACGGAUGAAAGCAGGGGACCGCAAGGCCUUGCGCGGACGGAGCGGCCGAUGGCGGAUUAGGUGGUUGGUGGGAAAAAAGCUUACCAAGCCGAGGAUCUGUAGCUGGUCUGAGAGGACGACCAGCCACACUGGGACUGCGACACGGCCCAGACUCCUACGGGAGGCAGCAGUGGGGAAUUUUGGACAAUGGGCGAAAGCCUGAUCCAGCCAUGCCGCGUGCAGGAUGAAGGCCUUCGGGUUGUAAACUGCUUUUGUACGGAACGAAAAGACUCUUUCUAAUAAAGAGGGUCCAUGACGGUACCGUAAGAAUAAGCACCGGCUAACUACGUG